AGGACGAACGCUGGCGGCGUGCUUAACACAUGCAAGUCGAGCGGAAAGGCCCUUCGGGGUACUCGAGCGGCGAACGGGUGAGUAACACGUGAGCAAUCUGCCCUUAGCUUCGGGAUAGCUCCGGGAAACCGGAAUUAAUACCGAAUAUGACUUCGGCCGACAUCGGCCUUGGUGGAAAGUUUUUCGGCUAGGGAUGAACUCGCGGCCUAUCAGCUUGUUGGUGGGGUAAUGGCCUACCAAGGCGACGACGGGUAGCCGGCCUGAGAGGGCGACCGGCCACACUGGGACUGAGACACGGCCCAGACUCCUACGGGAGGCAGCAGUGGGGAAUAUUGCGCAAUGGGCGAAAGCCUGACGCAGCGACGCCGCGUGGGGGAUGAAGGCCUUCGGGUUGUAAACCCCUUUCAGCAGGGACGAAGCGAAAGUGACGGUACCGCAGAAGAAGCGCCGGCUAACUACGUGCCAGCAGCCGC
Molecule: ribosomal RNA, 473 nt
Filed under: uncultured bacterium
Lineage: Bacteria
Description: SSU rRNA
Rfam family: Bacterial small subunit ribosomal RNA
Source: RNAcentral